RNAcentral lists this transfer RNA (82 nucleotides) under Marmota monax (woodchuck). Its description in RNAcentral is "tRNA.Ala". The record is from RNAcentral. Lineage: Eukaryota; Metazoa; Chordata; Mammalia; Rodentia; Sciuridae.
GGAGUUGUGGCUCAGCGGUAGAGCGUUCACCUAGCACAUUCACCUAGCACAUGAGAGGCCCUGGGUUCGAUCCUCAGCACCA